AGCAGCCGCGGUAAUUCCAGCUCCAAUAGCGUAUACUAAAGUUGUUGCAGUUAAAAAGCUCGUAGUUGAAUUUCGGGAUUGGCGUAUCGGUCGUGCCUCACGGGGUAUGAACUGGUGCAGUCAAUUUCUCACCUUCUGGAGAACCGCGAUGUCCUUAAUUGGAUGCCGCGGGGAACCAGGACCUUUACUUUGAAAAAUUAGAGUGUUUAAAGCAGGCAUUUUUGCUUGAAUACAUUAGCAUGGAAUAAUAAAAUAGGACGGCAUGGUUCUAUUUUGUUGGUUUCUAGGACCACCGUAAUGAUUAAUAGGGAUAGUUGGGGGCAUUAGUAUUCAAUUGUCAGAGGUGAAAUUCUUGGAUUUAUUGAAGACUAACUACUGCGAAAGCAUUUGCCAAGGAUGUUUUCAUUAAUCAAGAACGAAAGUUAGGGGAUCGAAGACGAUCAGAUACCGUCGUAGUCUUAACCAUAAACUAUGCCGACUAGGAAUCAGACGAUGUUAAUUUUUAAUGU
RNAcentral lists this ribosomal RNA (509 nucleotides) under uncultured Entrophospora. RNAcentral's name for it is "SSU rRNA". It matches the Rfam family "Eukaryotic small subunit ribosomal RNA", at positions 569 to 1076 of the family's 1831-position model. The record is from RNAcentral. Lineage: Eukaryota; Fungi; Glomeromycota; Glomeromycetes; Entrophosporales; Entrophosporaceae.